Long non-coding RNA from Eleginops maclovinus (Patagonian blennie), 252 nucleotides. RefSeq lists it as uncharacterized. Lineage: Eukaryota; Metazoa; Chordata; Actinopteri; Perciformes; Eleginopidae. The record is from RefSeq and is a predicted model, not a curated record. The transcript has 2 exons.
CUGCCCCUGGCAUUGAAAGUGUGUUUUUUGUAAUGUAUGUGGCAUAGGUUCCUGUACCUUUAAGAGGGAAUGCUCUAAGGGAGGGGCUGCUAGUUAGGUGACCGGAAGUCACAAGCACGUUAUUCACAUAGAGAGCAUGCAGGAUCGACAGCUUGAUCAGCUCUUCCAUUAAGAUGCAGUUCCACAUCUUCUUGUUUGUUAAAGCAACGUCUUUUCACGAAAUUACCAUUAAACUACAUGAGUAAUCCUCAA